GCCGGGCGCGGUGGCUCACGCCUGUAAUCCCAGCACUUUGGGAGGCCGAGGUGGGCGGAUCACCUGAGGUCAGGAGUUUGAGACUAGCCUGGCCAACAUGGUGAAACCCCAUCUCUA
This is an unclassified non-coding RNA of Macaca mulatta (Rhesus monkey), 117 nucleotides long. It matches the Rfam family "Metazoan signal recognition particle RNA". Rfam says of the family: The signal recognition particle (SRP) is a universally conserved ribonucleoprotein. It is involved in the co-translational targeting of proteins to membranes. The eukaryotic SRP consists of a 300-nucleotide 7S RNA and six proteins: SRPs 72, 68, 54, 19, 14, and 9. The record is from Ensembl. Lineage: Eukaryota; Metazoa; Chordata; Mammalia; Primates; Cercopithecidae.